GGUGCAGAGCUCCAGCAACAAGGACCGGCUAGCUGGACGGCAACCCUUCAUGCCGAUGGGGUGCCCCGGAAUCACACCUGGCGAUACGCGCGGUGCGUGUCGCAAGCGGCAGUC
RNAcentral lists this non-coding RNA (114 nucleotides) under Rhodococcus erythropolis. Its description in RNAcentral is "SAM-IV sequence". It matches the Rfam family "SAM (S-adenosyl methionine) riboswitch aptamer". Rfam says of the family: SAM-IV is a mRNA element that regulates gene expression via direct sensing of S-adenosylmethionine (SAM or AdoMet). SAM-IV riboswitches share conserved nucleotide positions with the previously described SAM-I riboswitches sequence analysis and molecular recognition experiments suggest that SAM-I and SAM-IV riboswitches share similar ligand binding sites, but have different scaffolds. The record is from RNAcentral. Lineage: Bacteria; Bacillati; Actinomycetota; Actinomycetes; Mycobacteriales; Nocardiaceae.